GACGAACGCUGGCGGCGUGCUUAACACAUGCAAGUCGAACGGAAAGGCCUUUUCGGAGGUACUCGAGUGGCGAACGGGUGAGUAACACGUGGGUGAUCUGCCCUGCACUCUGGGAUAAGCCUGGGAAACUGGGUCUAAUACCGGAUAGGACCGCACUUUAGUGUGUGUGGUGGAAAGUUUUUUCGGUGUAGGAUGAGCCCGCGGCCUAUCAGCUUGUUGGUGGGGUAAUGGCCUACCAAGGCGGCGACGGGUAGCCGGACUGAGAGGUUGGUCGGCCACAUUGGGACUGAGAUACGGCCCAGACUCCUACGGGAGGCAGCAGUGGGGAAUAUUGCACAAUGGGCGCAAGCCUGAUGCAGCGACGCCGCGUGGGGGAUGACGGCCUUCGGGUUGUAAACUCCUUUCGCCAGGGACGAAGCGUUUUGUGACGGUACCCGGAGAAGAAGCACCGGCUAACUACGUG
RNAcentral lists this ribosomal RNA (463 nucleotides) under uncultured bacterium. RNAcentral's name for it is "partial 16S ribosomal RNA". It matches the Rfam family "Bacterial small subunit ribosomal RNA", at positions 28 to 507 of the family's 1533-position model. The record is from RNAcentral.